CCUACGGGUGGCAGCAGUAGGGAAUCUUCCACAAUGGGCGAAAGCCUGAUGGAGCAACGCCGCGUGGGUGAAGAAGGUCUUCGGAUCGUAAAACCCUGUUGUUAGAGAAGAAAGUGCGUGAGAGUAACUGUUCAUGUUUCGACGGUAUCUAACCAGAAAGCCACGGCUAACUACGUGCCAGCAGCCGCGGUAAUACGUAGGUGGCAAGCGUUAUCCGGAUUUAUUGGGCGUAAAGGGCACGCAGGCGGUCUGUUAAGUCUGAUGUGAAAGCCUUCGGCUUAACCGGAGUAGUGCAUUGGAAACUGGGAAACUUGAGUGUAGAAGAGGAGAGUGGAACUCCAUGUGUAGCGGUGAAAUGCGUAGAUAUCUGGAAGAACAUCAGUGGCGAAGGCGGCUGUCUGGUCUGUAACUGACGCUGAGGUUCGAAAGCGUGGGUAGCAAACAGGAUUAGAUACCCUAGUAGUC
RNAcentral lists this ribosomal RNA (465 nucleotides) under uncultured bacterium. Its description in RNAcentral is "partial 16S ribosomal RNA". It matches the Rfam family "Bacterial small subunit ribosomal RNA", at positions 338 to 795 of the family's 1533-position model. The record is from RNAcentral.